CUUAUGAUAAAGCUGUGGCUUCCUUUAAGCAUGCUCUAAAGAACGGUGACAUUUGUGAAACUCCAGAUAAGCCAAAAGGCACAGCCAGAAGAAAACCUGCCAAGAAGAAUAAAAGCCAAAAGAAGAAUGCCACAACUCCCUUGAAACAGUGGAAAGUUGGUGACAAGUGUUCUGCUGUUUGGUCAGAAGACGGCUGCAUUUACCCAGCUACUAUUACGUCCAUUGACUUUGGCGUGGCACCGGCCAGAGUGAUGAUUCUGACAUUUGGGAUGAUA
RNAcentral lists this small RNA (275 nucleotides) under Mus musculus (house mouse). The record is from RNAcentral. Lineage: Eukaryota; Metazoa; Chordata; Mammalia; Rodentia; Muridae.